GACGAACGCUGGCGGCGUGCUUAACACAUGCAAGUCGAACGGAAAGGCCCUGCUUUUGUGGGGUGCUCGAGUGGCGAACGGGUGAGUAACACGUGAGUAACCUGCCCUUGACUUUGGGAUAACUUCAGGAAACUGGGGCUAAUACCGGAUAGGAGCUCCUGCUGCAUGGUGGGGGUUGGAAAGUUUCGGCGGUUGGGGAUGGACUCGCGGCUUAUCAGCUUGUUGGUGGGGUAGUGGCUUACCAAGGCUUGGACGGGUAGCCGGCCUGCGAGGGUGACCGGCCACAUGGGGACUGAGAUACGGCCCAGACUCCAACGGGAGGCAGCAGUGGGGAAGAUUGCACAAUGGGCGGAAGCCUGAUGCAGCAACGCCGCGUGCGGGAUGACGGCCUUCGGGUUGUAAACCGCUUUCGCCUGUGACGAAGCGUGAGUGACGGUAAUGGGUAAAGAAGCACCGGCUAACUACGUG
RNAcentral lists this ribosomal RNA (468 nucleotides) under uncultured bacterium. RNAcentral's name for it is "partial 16S ribosomal RNA". It matches the Rfam family "Bacterial small subunit ribosomal RNA", at positions 28 to 507 of the family's 1533-position model. The record is from RNAcentral.